RNAcentral lists this ribosomal RNA (1537 nucleotides) under Klebsiella pneumoniae. Its description in RNAcentral is "16S ribosomal RNA". It matches the Rfam family "Bacterial small subunit ribosomal RNA". Lineage: Bacteria; Pseudomonadati; Pseudomonadota; Gammaproteobacteria; Enterobacterales; Enterobacteriaceae. The record is from RNAcentral.
AGAGUUUGAUCAUGGCUCAGAUUGAACGCUGGCGGCAGGCCUAACACAUGCAAGUCGAGCGGUAGCACAGAGAGCUUGCUCUCGGGUGACGAGCGGCGGACGGGUGAGUAAUGUCUGGGAAACUGCCUGAUGGAGGGGGAUAACUACUGGAAACGGUAGCUAAUACCGCAUAACGUCGCAAGACCAAAGUGGGGGACCUUCGGGCCUCAUGCCAUCAGAUGUGCCCAGAUGGGAUUAGCUAGUAGGUGGGGUAACGGCUCACCUAGGCGACGAUCCCUAGCUGGUCUGAGAGGAUGACCAGCCACACUGGAACUGAGACACGGUCCAGACUCCUACGGGAGGCAGCAGUGGGGAAUAUUGCACAAUGGGCGCAAGCCUGAUGCAGCCAUGCCGCGUGUGUGAAGAAGGCCUUCGGGUUGUAAAGCACUUUCAGCGGGGAGGAAGGCGNNNNNNNNNNNNNNNNNNNNNNNNNNNNNCGAUUGACGUUACCCGCAGAAGAAGCACCGGCUAACUCCGUGCCAGCAGCCGCGGUAAUACGGAGGGUGCAAGCGUUAAUCGGAAUUACUGGGCGUAAAGCGCACGCAGGCGGUCUGUCAAGUCGGAUGUGAAAUCCCCGGGCUCAACCUGGGAACUGCAUUCGAAACUGGCAGGCUAGAGUCUUGUAGAGGGGGGUAGAAUUCCAGGUGUAGCGGUGAAAUGCGUAGAGAUCUGGAGGAAUACCGGUGGCGAAGGCGGCCCCCUGGACAAAGACUGACGCUCAGGUGCGAAAGCGUGGGGAGCAAACAGGAUUAGAUACCCUGGUAGUCCACGCCGUAAACGAUGUCGAUUUGGAGGUUGUGCCCUUGAGGCGUGGCUUCCGGAGCUAACGCGUUAAAUCGACCGCCUGGGGAGUACGGCCGCAAGGUUAAAACUCAAAUGAAUUGACGGGGGCCCGCACAAGCGGUGGAGCAUGUGGUUUAAUUCGAUGCAACGCGAAGAACCUUACCUGGUCUUGACAUCCACAGAACUUNNNNNNNNNNNUUGGUGCCUUCGGGAACUGUGAGACAGGUGCUGCAUGGCUGUCGUCAGCUCGUGUUGUGAAAUGUUGGGUUAAGUCCCGCAACGAGCGCAACCCUUAUCCUUUGUUGCCAGCGGUCCGGCCGGGAACUCAAAGGAGACUGCCAGUGAUAAACUGGAGGAAGGUGGGGAUGACGUCAAGUCAUCAUGGCCCUUACGACCAGGGCUACACACGUGCUACAAUGGCAUAUACAAAGAGAAGCGACCUCGCGAGAGCAAGCGGACCUCAUAAAGUAUGUCGUAGUCCGGAUUGGAGUCUGCAACUCGACUCCAUGAAGUCGGAAUCGCUAGUAAUCGUAGAUCAGAAUGCUACGGUGAAUACGUUCCCGGGCCUUGUACACACCGCCCGUCACACCAUGGGAGUGGGUUGCAAAAGAAGUAGGUAGCUUAACCUUCGGGAGGGCGCUUACCACUUUGUGAUUCAUGACUGGGGUGAAGUCGUAACAAGGUAACCGUAGGGGAACCUGCGGUUGGAUCACCU